AUUCACAGUGGUGAAAGGGAGAAGGAAACUCAAAGCUUCAAGCUCAUUUUAUCCUUUAAAAUGACAUUGAGGCCACCAGAGUUGGCUGAGCCCUGUGCAGCCCCAGUCAGGACCUGCUGAAGCGCUAUCUGCAUAAUUGCUUAAAGAUUUUACUGCAAAAUUAAUAUCCUUGCUGUGAACAAGGCGAAAACCAGGAUGACAGAGCCUGAGAUGAGGGGAGACCUAAGGACACGUUUACCUUCUCUCAGCGAACACCACAUAUUUUCAUUUGACCAUCUGUACUGAGACAAAUUUCAGUGGUAUCGGCAUACCACAUGUGGCUUGUGCCACAUGCAUUUGUUCCUCAGUAACUUACAAUAUUUUUUCAAAUCUUCACAACAUAGUUUAUUAAAAUUUGAAUUGGACUGCAAAUAAAAUACAGUUAAGACAUGGAGCAAAUAUACUGUUCUGAUGAAUCGCAACAAAACACAUGAUCUUAGAUGUCAUCAGUUUCUACCUUACUUUCCAAAUAAAAUAUUUGACUUCAGAGCAGCCAAGAGACUUAGCCAAAAAUCAUAUAGUUAGAGACAGAAUUUGAACAAAAACCUAGAUAUCCUGGUUUUCAAUCUAAAGUUCUUUACAUUAUACUCCUUGUUAGUUCUCUUGGAAAUAUUUUACAAGUUUUCUGAAAUAGCAUUGUGUUUUGAAAUAAUUUGAAUGCUAAUUAGA
RNAcentral lists this long non-coding RNA (708 nucleotides) under Homo sapiens (human). RNAcentral's name for it is "long intergenic non-protein coding RNA 2032". The record is from RNAcentral. Lineage: Eukaryota; Metazoa; Chordata; Mammalia; Primates; Hominidae.